AUUGAACGCUGGCGGCAUGCCUUACACAUGCAAGUCGAACGGCAGCAUGGAGAGCUUGCUCUCUGAUGGCGAGUGGCGAACGGGUGAGUAAUGCAUCAGAACGUACCGUGUAAUGGGGGAUAACGUAGCGAAAGUUACGCUAAUACCGCAUACGACCUGAGGGUGAAAGCAGGGGAUCGCAAGACCUUGCGUUAUACGAGCGGCCGAUGUCAGAUUAGCUAGUUGGUGAGGUAAAGGCUCACCAAGGCGACGAUCUGUAGCGGGUCUGAGAGGAUGAUCCGCCACACGGGGACUGAGACACGGCCCAGACUCCUACGGGAGGCAGCAGUGGGGAAUUUUAGACAAUGGGGGCAACCCUGAUCCAGCCAUGCCGCGUGAGUGAAGAAGGCCUUCGGGUUGUAAAGCUCUUUCGGCCGGGAAGAAAUCGCACAGGCUAAUACUCUGUGUGGAUGACGGUACCGGCAUAAGAAGCACCGGCUAACUACGUGCCAGCCGCCGCCGUAA
RNAcentral lists this ribosomal RNA (504 nucleotides) under uncultured bacterium. RNAcentral describes it as "partial 16S ribosomal RNA". It matches the Rfam family "Bacterial small subunit ribosomal RNA", at positions 30 to 523 of the family's 1533-position model. The record is from RNAcentral.